This 944-nucleotide long non-coding RNA is filed under the name Vulpes vulpes (red fox). Its description in RNAcentral is "lncRNA (ENSVVUG00000030336.1)". Lineage: Eukaryota; Metazoa; Chordata; Mammalia; Carnivora; Canidae. The record is from RNAcentral.
GUAACAAAAACUGACUGGUAGACUCCUUAACUCCCUGACUUUUCCGUACAUUUAAUCAGUUAAGGGACGGUGAACCCUGAACUCUUUCAUCACCUGUGAAGAGUUUCGGAGUAAGUUCUGGAGGAGGUGGGCCUGGAUUGACCUAGCGGUCCACUUUCCCUCUUUAACUCAGAGCCCUCCUCUACCAGAUGGGGAUAAUAAAACGCACAACUUCUCGUGGUUCUUGUGGACAUUAAAUGAGAUAAUACCCCUCAAGUUCUGAGCCCAGGUCUGAUGUAUAGUAAGAGCAGAGUAACUGUCAACUGUCACCAGGUUAGCCUUGAGUAAACACAGAAUGGCCAAGCAAGUCUGGAGGAGUAUGGGUCUCUGAAAUAGGGAAUCACUGCAAGAAGUUCAAACAAUAAUUGCUGUCCCAUCAGCCCCGGUCGAAAGGAAUCAACAACAGAGAAAAAAAAGUAGUUUCAGCUACUCUCCAGGUAUCGACCCGCUACCUCAUCAGAAAAGCAGAACAUUCAGAGCUAAGAGGAGGUCAGCAGCUACUCGUGUAUUCCUCUUACUUCACAAUGAAGAGGUGGUGAUAUAUUCAUGAGAGAGCAAGAGAUCAGAGUUGGCAUCGGCAGAAUCAGGACUAGAACUCCAGACUGGAAGUCAGUACCCGGUCUCCCGACUCUCUCUAUACCAGGUCAAGAUGGACCAGGUGGAGGGACCAGAACAAGAGUGAGGAGCGUGAGAAGCCAGCUGUUCCAGCACACCAGCCUUCUGAGUCUAGGCAGCAUCAACCGCCAGACACACAAACAAAUGAAUCUUGAGAUGAUUCAUGCCAAGCUUCAGGCCAUCCAACUGGAACCCCAGACAUCAUGAAGUAGAGACAAACUGUCCCUGCCAUGCCCUGUCUUAUGUCCUGAACAGAAUAAUAAAUGGGUAUUUAACAACGCUAAGCCUCA